RNAcentral lists this ribosomal RNA (910 nucleotides) under Penicillium chrysogenum. RNAcentral describes it as "LSU rRNA". It matches the Rfam family "Eukaryotic large subunit ribosomal RNA", at positions 38 to 961 of the family's 3401-position model. Lineage: Eukaryota; Fungi; Ascomycota; Eurotiomycetes; Eurotiales; Aspergillaceae. The record is from RNAcentral.
GCAUAUCAUAAGCGGAGGAAAAGAAACCAACAGGGAUUGCCCCAGUAACGGCGAGUGAAGCGGCAAGAGCUCAAAUUUGAAAGCUGGCUCCUUCGGGGUCCGCAUUGUAAUUUGUAGAGGAUGCUUCGGGAGCGGUCCCCAUCUAAGUGCCCUGGAACGGGACGUCAUAGAGGGUGAGAAUCCCGUAUGGGAUGGGGUGUCCGCGCCCGUGUGAAGCUCCUUCGACGAGUCGAGUUGUUUGGGAAUGCAGCUCUAAAUGGGUGGUAAAUUUCAUCUAAAGCUAAAUAUUGGCCGGAGACCGAUAGCGCACAAGUAGAGUGAUCGAAAGAUGAAAAGCACUUUGAAAAGAGAGUUAAAAAGCACGUGAAAUUGUUGAAAGGGAAGCGCUUGCGACCAGACUCGCUCGCGGGGUUCAGCCGGCAUUCGUGCCGGUGUACUUCCCCGCGGGCGGGCCAGCGUCGGUUUGGGCGGUCGGUCAAAGGCCCUCGGAAGGUAACGCCCCUAGGGGCGUCUUAUAGCCGAGGGUGCAAUGCGACCUGCCUAGACCGAGGAACGCGCUUCGGCUCGGACGCUGGCAUAAUGGUCGUAAACGACCCGUCUUGAAACACGGACCAAGGAGUCUAACAUCUACGCGAGUGUUCGGGUGUCAAACCCGUGCGCGAAGUGAAAGCGAACGGAGGUGGGAACCCUCACGGGUGCACCAUCGACCGAUCCUGAAGUCUUCGGAUGGAUUUGAGUAAGAGCGUAGCUGUUGGGACCCGAAAGAUGGUGAACUAUGCCUGAAUAGGGCGAAGCCAGAGGAAAACUCUGGUGGAGGCUCGUAGCGGUUUCUGACGUGCAAAUCGAUUCGUCGAAAUUUGGGUAAUAGGGGGCGAAAGACUAAUCGAACCAUCUGGUAGCUGGGUCUGUG